UCAAGUUAUUAAGGGUGCAGGGCGGAUGCCUUGGCACUAGGAGCCGAUGAAGGACGUGAUAAGCUGCGAUAAGCUUCGGGGAGUUGCACGUAAACUUUGAUCCGAAGAUUUCCGAAUGAGGAAACUCACUUAGAGUAAUGUCUAAGUAUCAUUAAGUGAAUACAUAGCUUAAUGAGGGGAACUCAGGGAACUGAAACAUCUAAGUACCUGAAGGAAGAGAAAGAAAUUCGAUUCCGUAAGUAGCGGCGAGCGAACGCGGAUUAGCCCAAACCAAUAAAGUUUUCUUUAUUGGGGUUGCGGACAUAUCAUAACGGAGAGGUAUCGUAAUUGAAGAGGUUUGGAAAGACCCACCACAGAAGGUAAUAGUCCUGUAUGUUAAAUGAGAAGACUUUAGAUAUGAUCCAGAGUACCACUGGACACGUGAAACCCUGUGGGAAGCAGGAGGGACCACCCUCCAAGGCUAAAUACUACCUAGUGACCGAUAGCGUAUAGUACCGUGAGGGAAAGGUGAAAAGAACCCCGGGAGGGGAGUGAAAUAGAACCUGAAACCCUGCACUUACAAGCUGUGGAAGCACAUUUCUUGUGUGACCGCGUACUUUUUGUAGAACGGGCCAACGAGUUACGUUAAGUAGCAAGGUUAAGCACUUAAGGUGCGGAGCCGUAGCGAAAGCGAGUUUUAACUGAGCGUUCAGUUACUUGACGUAGACCCGAAACCGGGCGACCUACCCAUGAGCAGGAUGAAGCGAAAGUAAAAUUUCGUGGAGGUCCGAACCCACGAGCGUUGAAAAGCUCGGGGAUGACUUGUGGGUAGCGGUGAAAUUCCAAUCGAGCCCGGAGAUAGCUGGUUCUCCCCGAAAUAGCUUUAGGGCUAGCCUCAAGGUGAGAGAUACGGAGGUAGAGCACUGAAUGUCCUAGGGGGUAUUGCACCUACCGAAGACUAUCAAACUCCGAAUGCCGUCAUCUUAUACUUGGGAGUCAGACUGUGGGUGAUAAGAUUCAUAGUCGAAAGGGCAACAGCCCAGAUCGUCAGCUAAGGUCCCUAAAUGUAAGUUAAGUGGUAAAGGAUGUGGGAUUGCACAGACAACCAGGAUGUUGGCUUAGAAGCAGCCACUCAUUCAAAGAGUGCGUAAUAGCUCACUGGUCGAGUGAUCCUGCGCCGAAGAUUUCCGGGGCUAAAACUUACUACCGAAGCUACGGCAUCAGUAAUGAUGGGUAGGGGAGCUUCCCAUACGGGUUGAAGCAUGACCGUAAGGACAUGUGGACAGUAUGGGAGUGAGAAUGUUGGCAUGAGUAGCGAGAUGUGGGUGAGAAUCCCACAGGCCGUAAACCCAAGGUUUCCAGGGGAAGGUUCGUCCGCCCUGGGUUAGUCGGGACCUAAGCUGAGGCCGAAAGGCGUAGGUGAUGGACAACAGGUUGAUAUUCCUGUACUACCGAUAACCGUUUGAGAGAAGGGAUGACACAGUAGGAUAAGCUAAGCACACUGUUGGUUAUGUGUGCCCAAGCAUUGAGGCAGUCAAAGUAGGCAAAUCCGCUUUGAUAAUGCUGGGAUGUGAUGGGGAGCGAAAUUUAGUAGCGAAGUAGCUGAUUUCACACUGUCAAGAAAAGUCUCUAUCGAGGUUAAAGGUACCCGUACCGCAAACCGACACAGGUGGGUGAGGAGAGUAUCCUAAGGCCAGCGAGAGAACUGUUGUUAAGGAACUCGGCAAAAUGACCCCGUAACUUAGGGAUAAGGGGUGCCACCAUCAGGUGGCCGCAGAGAAUAGGCCCAAGCGACUGUUUACCAAAAACAUAGGUUUCUGCUAAGUCGCAAGAUGAUGUAUAGGAGCUGACGCCUGCCCGGUGCUGGAAGGUUAAGGGGAUCUGUUAGAGCAAUCGAAGCAGUGAACUUAAGCCCCAGUAAACGGCGGCCGUAACUAUAACGGUCCUAAGGUAGCGAAAUUCCUUGUCGGGUAAGUUCCGACCCGCACGAAAGGCGUAACGAUUUGGGCACUGUCUCAACAACAGACUCGGUGAAAUUGUAAUUCCGGUGAAGAUGCCGGAUACCUGCGACAGGACGGAAAGACCCCAUGGAGCUUUACUGUAGCUUGACAUUGGGUUUUGGUACUACAUGUACAGGAUAGGUGGGAGGCUUUGAAACCAGGACGCCAGUUUUGGCGGAGCCAUCCUUGGGAUACCACCCUUGUAGUACUGGGACUCUAACCAUAGGCCAUGAA
This 2213-nucleotide ribosomal RNA is filed under the name Clostridioides difficile. RNAcentral's name for it is "bacterial LSU rRNA". It matches the Rfam family "Bacterial large subunit ribosomal RNA", at positions 3 to 2239 of the family's 2925-position model. The record is from RNAcentral. Lineage: Bacteria; Bacillati; Bacillota; Clostridia; Peptostreptococcales; Peptostreptococcaceae.